Dermacentor andersoni is the source of this 335-nucleotide non-coding RNA. Lineage: Eukaryota; Metazoa; Arthropoda; Arachnida; Ixodida; Ixodidae. The record is from RefSeq and is a predicted model, not a curated record.
CAGGACUCUCAGCGUCUUCGUCGCAUCUCCUUUCUUCGCAUCGAUCCUAGAGUGCUCCAGUCGAAGACAUGGACGGCUUGCUUGGGAAAUACCUCUUCAUGGUGGUUUUUGCCACACUCGCUGCCCUGAUAAUGUUCCCAAACCAAGCUGAGGCAAUUCCAAGCUCCUUCUUGGAAGCUAUCACCGCACAGGCCACUGGACGAAAUGAAGAAAUUGCCGAGUAGCGCAGCAUCCGUCUUUGCGAUAAAAUGGGGCCGACCUUCGUUCCAAUGACAACGCCUGCUUCUUUACUGAAUAAAACGAACGAAGCAAAAAUUGUCCUGGAAUGAAUAAAC